UACGUAGGGGGCAAGCGUUAUCCGCAAUUACUGGGUGUAAAGGGUGAGUAGGCGGCAUGGUAAGCCAGAUGUGAAAGCCUUGGGCUUAACCCGAGGAUUGCAUUUGGAACUAUCAAGCUAGAGUACAGGAGAGGAAAGCGGAAUUCCUAGUGUAGCGGUGAAAUGCGUAGAUAUUAGGAAGAACACCAGUGGCGAAGGCGGCUUUCUGGACUGAAACUGACGCUGAGGCACGAAAGCGUGGGGAGCGAACAGG
Molecule: ribosomal RNA, 253 nt
Filed under: uncultured bacterium
Lineage: Bacteria
Description: partial 16S ribosomal RNA
Rfam family: Bacterial small subunit ribosomal RNA
Source: RNAcentral